UGUAAGAGCAUAGACCCUUCAUUGGGUCUAAGAUUUUAGAUUUUUAUCAUUAUUUUAUUCUAUAAUUGGAACAAUCUGACUUUUCAUUCUUUCUGGACAUUCAACUAUUUUGUGGCCUUUUUGACCACAACCAAAUGAUAUACUAGCAUUGCAAAGAUAAUCCUUUUUACCAUUAGCUCUACCAUAUCUAAAACACUUGGUACUAUCAAACGACUCAGGGUUAUCACUUGCUGAUCUCUUGUUGGCACUUUCAAUAUUUCUAUUCCUCUUUCCUUGAGAUUGAUUUGAUCUGUUUCUCUUCUUUUAAUUUUUUUCUCUUUCUGCAUACUCCUUAUUGACUUUCCUUUUAAUUAUCAAUAUUUUAUUCACUACAUUUGCAUAAAUAAUUAAUUCAUAUGACAUCACUUGCUUUUUAACUUCUAUCUUUAGUCCCAUAUCAAAUUGAUAUACUCGAUCACGCUCAUCUUCGACAAACCUCGGAGUAAAUAAAUUUAACUUCAUAUUUUACAACUAUCAUAUUCUUUUAUUUUAGAUAAAUAAAUUUUUACUCUUUUUAAGCCCUUGCACUUUAAGGAGAAUGCUGGUCAUAAAACUCUCUUUGGUAUCUUUCCCAUGUGAGUUGUUCUUUAUUUUAUUCAUAUUUAUGAUCCAGUAUUUGUCGCCAGGUGAACGUCUCACCUUGC
This 683-nucleotide long non-coding RNA is filed under the name Elaeis guineensis (African oil palm). Its description in RNAcentral is "long non-coding RNA (EGUI_LNC020191)". Lineage: Eukaryota; Viridiplantae; Streptophyta; Magnoliopsida; Arecales; Arecaceae. The record is from RNAcentral.